Molecule: ribosomal RNA, 1623 nt
Filed under: Triticum aestivum (bread wheat)
Lineage: Eukaryota; Viridiplantae; Streptophyta; Magnoliopsida; Poales; Poaceae
Description: partial small subunit ribosomal RNA
Source: RNAcentral
AUGGCUGAGGUAGUGAUUCUUUCAGCUGUGAUAAAGAUUGGCGUUGCUCUAGGGAAUGAAGCACUGAAGCAGGCUAGCUCACAGUUCCAAAAGUCCAUUGCACAACUAACAGAGCUUCAGGGUAGGAUGGGUCGCAUUAGAAGUGAACUCAGGCUAAUGCAUGGAUUUCUUUGCCGGGUGGAUGUCCGGAAUCUGAAGAAUCAGAACUAUGGAUUCUGGGUUCAAGAGUUGCGAAGGCUUGGACACGGGAUCGAGGACAUUGUGGACGAGUAUUUGCAUCUUGUUGGUCAUAAACAUGAUACUGGAUGGGGUGCCUAUCUGAAGAAAGGAUUCAAGCGACCAAAUGUGUUGCUUUCCUUGAACCGGAUAGCAUUAUUUGUUAAGGAAGCAGAGAUCAAUCUUGUGCACCUCUUCCAGGCUAAAGAUAGGUGGGUUCCAAUGGUAGGUGGUUGGGAUCCCGGUGACUCGAGUUACAUUGUUGAGAGGUCCCAACACCUCGCAAGCAUUUCACGUUCCCUUGAUGCAGAAGAUCUUGUGGGGGUGGAUACAAACAGAGAAAAACUUGAGGGGUAUUUGGGAAGUGAUGAUUUGGUACGUUCUGUGAUAGUGUUGCAUGGAAUGGGAGGGCUGGGUAAAACAGCUUUGGCUGCUAAUGUCUACAAGAAAGAGAGAGAAAAGUUUGAAUGCCAUACAUGGGUCUCCAUCUCUCAAACUUAUUCCAUAAAAGAUGUCCUGAAAUGUCUGAUUACUGAACUUUACAAAAACAGAAACGACACACCUGGUAACAUCAACAACAUGGACAUUAAUGGCCUUCAAGAUGAAUUAAGGACCUUCCUACAGGACAAGAAAUAUUUCAUCAUAUUGGAUGACGUUUGGGCUCCGGAAGCUCUCAAUGAUCUAUUUGGAGCACUCGCUCAAAAUCAGAAGAGGAGUAGAGUACUUGUGACAACACGCAUUGAUAGUGUAGCUCACCAUGCUCUCCAAGACCAGAGGAUAACAAUUGAAGCUCUAUCAAAAGAUGACUCAUGGAAGCUCUUCUGUAAGAUGGGGUUUUCGAGAGAUACAAAUCAUAAAUGCCCUGAUGAACUCACACAAUUAGCCCAGGAAAUUGUCAGCAAGUGUAAAGGCAUACCUCUUGCAAUUGUCGCUGUUGGUAGGCUGCUCCUCAUGCGCGAGAAGACCAAAGUGGAAUUCAAGCGAAUACAUGACCAGCUGGACUGGGAGCUAGUUAACAAUCCAAGCAUGGAACAUGUCAGGAAUAUUCUUUAUUUGAGUUUCAGCUACCUUCCGACACAUUUGAAAAGUUGCUUCCUAUAUUGCAGCUUAUUUCCAGAAGACCAUCUUUUCCAGAGAAAAAAGCUUGCACGGUUAUGGAUAGCAGAGGGGUUCAUCGAGCAGAGGGGUGCAAGCACAUUAGAAGAAGUGGCAGAAGGAUAUAUGCAGGAGUUGGUUCACAGGAACAUGCUACAACUUGUUGAAAGGAACUCAUUUGGUAGGAUAAAGAAAUUCAGAAUGCAUGAUAUUAUACGUGAAUUAGCAGUUGAUUUGUGCCAGAGUGACAGUUUUGGUGUUACAUACGAGGAAGACAAAUGUGGAGGGUCUCUUGAGAAUGGGGGGCGUUGA